This 140-nucleotide small RNA is filed under the name Arabidopsis thaliana (thale cress). RNAcentral describes it as "ATSL017150". The record is from RNAcentral. Lineage: Eukaryota; Viridiplantae; Streptophyta; Magnoliopsida; Brassicales; Brassicaceae.
UUUUUAAAAUUUUAUAAAUAUUGAUUCAAAUACAUCCACCAUAUAACCCAAUUCCAAAAUAAAACACGUUCUGUAAUUUCUUUACCCGUCCCAUGAUUUUUUUUUAAGUAGUAAUUUUUAAAAUUUAAGAAUUAUAUUUU